This is a non-coding RNA of Triticum urartu, 1660 nucleotides long. NCBI's taxonomy places the organism in Eukaryota, Viridiplantae, Streptophyta, Magnoliopsida, Poales, Poaceae. The record is from RefSeq and is a predicted model, not a curated record.
CCCAUCUCCCUCCAAUUUCUAUCCCCAUCUCCACUCCCUCUCCCCCACGACUGCAUCCAGCGGCGAGAUUUGAGGAUCACGCUGCCGGCGCACCCUGCGGCACCAGCCGCGUAAUCCUUCUCCAAUGACGGCUGCUCACCCGCCCUCCCAUCAAGCCCCGGCCGCUGCGCUUGCUCUCCACAAGGACCGGUCGCCACGCCUCGCCGGCCAAGAUCGGAUCCGCCAACCCGCGUCAUUUAAGUCGCCAGCCUCUACAGGCAACAUCAUAGCCGCUCGCCUCAUCGUCACCAUCGCCCACUCCAGCGCCUUCCCCAGCUUCCUUUCUCACCUCGUGCCUUACCAAGAUCUGUACAUUGCCUCACCACCCCUCCAUCACCCACUACUUGAGAUUAGAUGCUGAUUUAGAAGUUUGGUUUCGUCCAGCGACCAACAAGAUGCCAGCGUCUGGAGACAACAGGUUAGGGAGAGGCAACACGAUGAUGCAGUGAGGCUAGGGGAUAGGUGAGAAACUUUGCAAGGAACCCCGCUGCAAUACCAUUAGAUCUGGUCCCCUUCCAACUAUUCGAGGGUAUAUUUCGCUGCUUCCUUAUUUCUUCCAUAAUUUCCGGAUGUAAGAUUUCUGAUCUGUAAUUUGAUUCUUCUAACCACCUAUUUAAGAUCUCCUUUUCCUAGUGGCAGUUCUUCUCAAAGGUAUGGUUUAGGCGUAUAUGUUCCUCCCUGUCUCUAAAUUUCUACAAUGAAUAAUUUCAACUCACAUUUCCCCUUUAAGCUUCAAGUUCAUGUAGUCUCCAGAACAUUUAAUAUGUAACUAGACUCUACGUUCAGAGUAUUAACAUUUAACAAUGAAACUUUACUAGAAAUUGCCUUUUAUUAGUAGUUAUGGACAAUAAAUUAAUAUUCUGCGAUAAAAGUUAACAAGGUAAAGAUAUGUUGAGGGCUCCUAUCAUGGGCUAAUACUGCUCAGCGAAACAAAAAAGGAUUAUGUUAUUCUGUAAUAUUUUUUCUCCAUGUGAACACUUGUCAGUAUAUUGUUUCUCUUCUUUGUUUUAUUCCGUAAACGUAGGUGCAUUAGUCGACUGCUUACUGUAGGUAUCAGGUUGGGUUUGCAAUAUCAAGAUAAUCUUAUCGGCCUUGCUAUGUUGGUACAGUCUGAAGCUUGUUCGUUUUACUACUUGCUUCUCCACUUUCUAUUUUCUUACAAUGUAAUACUGGAUAAUUCUUUAACUGGUUGUGUAUGCCUAACAUUUAAGCUCAUCGUGUACUUCCUUUUCCCGUAACUUAUAUUUUUAUUUGUUAUAUUUAGAUUCAGGAAGCAUCGUACAACAGCAGUGCGAGUACACAAUUAGCUGUAGCUGCAGAAGAAGAUGAGCACCAUGAGGAUUUAGCCGCGAGACUUGAAGCACAAGAGAGAGAAUUUGAAGAGAUGCAAAGAAGAGCCAACAAGAGAAGAAUGAAGCCCGGCAAAAGAAGCAACAUGAGAUGGAUACCUUGAUUGGAUUUCUUUUAAGGGCUCAAGCAACCUAGCAAGCAAAUCAGUCCAACCUGAUGGUGCAUGAAGGCCAUCAUUUUGUGAAAGAAAGAUAGUUGUUUAAUCAUACAUUGCAAUCAUCAGGACAACAUAUGUGGUCUUUUAGUUAUCUAAAUAUUACUUUUCAUCUUA